Molecule: ribosomal RNA, 1691 nt
Filed under: Escherichia coli
Lineage: Bacteria; Pseudomonadati; Pseudomonadota; Gammaproteobacteria; Enterobacterales; Enterobacteriaceae
Description: partial 23S ribosomal RNA
Rfam family: Bacterial large subunit ribosomal RNA
Source: RNAcentral
UUAACUGAAUCCAUAGGUUAAUGAGGCGAACCGGGGGAACUGAAACAUCUAAGUACCCCGAGGAAAAGAAAUCAACCGAGAUUCCCCCAGUAGCGGCGAGCGAACGGGGAGCAGCCCAGAGCCUGAAUCAGUGUGUGUGUUAGUGGAAGCGUCUGGAAAGGCGCGUGAUACAGGGUGACAGCCCCGUACACAAAAAUGCACAUGCUGUGAGCUCGAUGAGUAGGGCGGGACACGUGGUAUCCUGUCUGAAUAUGGGGGGACCAUCCUCCAAGGCUAAAUACUCCUGACUGACCGAUAGUGAACCAGUACCGUGAGGGAAAGGCGAAAAGAACCCCGGCGAGGGGAGUGAAAAAGAACCUGAAACCGUGUACGUACAAGCAGUGGGAGCACGCUUAGGCGUGUGACUGCGUACCUUUUGUAUAAUGGGUCAGCGACUUAUAUUCUGUAGCAAGGUUAACCGAAUAGGGGAGCCGAAGGGAAACCGAGUCUUAACUGGGCGUUAAGUUGCAGGGUAUAGACCCGAAACCCGGUGAUCUAGCCAUGGGCAGGUUGAAGGUUGGGUAACACUAACUGGAGGACCGAACCGACUAAUGUUGAAAAAUUAGCGGAUGACUUGUGGCUGGGGGUGAAAGGCCAAUCAAACCGGGAGAUAGCUGGUUCUCCCCGAAAGCUAUUUAGGUAGCGCCUCGUGAAUUCAUCUCCGGGGGUAGAGCACUGUUUCGGCAAGGGGGUCAUCCCGACUUACCAACCCGAUGCAAACUGCGAAUACCGGAGAAUGUUAUCACGGGAGACACACGGCGGGUGCUAACGUCCGUCGUGAAGAGGGAAACAACCCAGACCGCCAGCUAAGGUCCCAAAGUCAUGGUUAAGUGGGAAACGAUGUGGGAAGGCCCAGACAGCCAGGAUGUUGGCUUAGAAGCAGCCAUCAUUUAAAGAAAGCGUAAUAGCUCACUGGUCGAGUCGGCCUGCGCGGAAGAUGUAACGGGGCUAAACCAUGCACCGAAGCUGCGGCAGCGACGCUUAUGCGUUGUUGGGUAGGGGAGCGUUCUGUAAGCCUGUGAAGGUGUACUGUGAGGUAUGCUGGAGGUAUCAGAAGUGCGAAUGCUGACAUAAGUAACGAUAAAGCGGGUGAAAAGCCCGCUCGCCGGAAGACCAAGGGUUCCUGUCCAACGUUAAUCGGGGCAGGGUGAGUCGACCCCUAAGGCGAGGCCGAAAGGCGUAGUCGAUGGGAAACAGGUUAAUAUUCCUGUACUUGGUGUUACUGCGAAGGGGGGACGGAGAAGGCUAUGUUGGCCGGGCGACGGUUGUCCCGGUUUAAGCGUGUAGGCUGGUUUUCCAGGCAAAUCCGGAAAAUCAAGGCUGAGGCGUGAUGACGAGGCACUACGGUGCUGAAGCAACAAAUGCCCUGCUUCCAGGAAAAGCCUCUAAGCAUCAGGUAACAUCAAAUCGUACCCCAAACCGACACAGGUGGUCAGGUAGAGAAUACCAAGGCGCUUGAGAGAACUCGGGUGAAGGAACUAGGCAAAAUGGUGCCGUAACUUCGGGAGAAGGCACGCUGAUAUGUAGGUGAAGUCCCUCGCGGAUGGAGCUGAAAUCAGUCGAAGAUACCAGCUGGCUGCAACUGUUUAUUAAAAACACAGCACUGUGCAAACACGAAAGUGGACGUAUACGGUGUGACGCCUGCCCGGUGC